RNAcentral lists this ribosomal RNA (1126 nucleotides) under Chromulinospumella sphaerica. Its description in RNAcentral is "eukaryotic LSU rRNA". It matches the Rfam family "Eukaryotic large subunit ribosomal RNA", at positions 64 to 1270 of the family's 3401-position model. Lineage: Eukaryota; Chrysophyceae; Chromulinales; Chromulinaceae. The record is from RNAcentral.
ACUAACCAGGAUUCCCUCAGUAACGGCGAGUGAAGCGGGAAGAGCUCAGACUGAAAAUCUUCGGAAUUGUAGUCUGUCGAGUUCAGGUCACUUUGAGACCUUGGGCAAAGUCUGCUGGAAUGCAGCGCUAGGAAGGGUGACAGCCCCGUCUAUGCCUGAGGUUGAGAGGGUACGACCGGACUUCUACGAGUCGAGUUGUUUGGGAUUGCAGCUCUAAGUGGGUGGUAAAUUCCAUCUAAAGCUAAAUAUUGGUGGGAGACCGAUAGCGAACAAGUACCGUGAGGGAAAGAUGCAAAGAACUUUGAAAAGAGAGUGAAAGAGUACCUGAAAUUGCUGAAAUGGAAACGAUGGGAAGCAGUGUUGGCGGCUAAGGACUAGUCCUUGGUCGCAAGUUAAGCUUUCUUCGUUGCUCGGGAGAGGUUCCAGACCUGUUAUGGGCUGGGUUUGCCGUCGAGUGGCGGAGGGACUUUGACGAAAUGCUUCUUAUCAUCCCGUCUUGAAACACGGACCAAGGAGUCUAACAUGUGUGCGAGUGCCCGGGGUUUGAACCCCUAGCGCGGAAUGAAAGUAAAGGUCCUUUAUUGGGCUGAGGUUGGAAGCCGUAACUGGCGUGCACAAUCGACCGACCAUGAUCCCUCGGGAGAAAGGUUUGAGUGUGAGCAUACAUGUUGGGACCCGAAAGAUGGUGAACUAUGCCUGAGUAGGGCGAAGCCAGGGGAAACUCUGGUGGAGGUCCGUAGCGAUUCUAACGUGCAAAUUGAUCGUCGAACUUGGGUAUAGGGGCGAAAGACUAAUCGAACCAUCUAGUAGCUGGUUCCUCCCGAAAUUUCCCUCAGGAUAGCUGCAACCUUACAGUUUUAUCAGGUAAAGCGAAUGAUUAGAGGCAUCAGGGGUGGAACGUCCUUGACCUAUUCUCAAACUUUAAAUGGGUAAGAGCCCUUGGUUUCUUAAUUGAACCAGGCGGUUGAAUGAAGGUUGCUAGUGGGCCAAUCUGGGUAAGCUAGAUUGGCGAUGCGGGAUGAACCGAACGUCAAGUUAAAGUGCCAAAGUAUCCGCUAACCUAGAUCCCACAAAAGGUGUUGGUUCAUUAAGACAGCAGGACGGUGGCCAUGGAAGUCGGAACCCG